AGACAACAGUAUGAGGAAAAAAAACGAAGUUUUAGACCAGAAAAAGUUAGUUGAAAAAAGAAGAGCUUGGAAAAGUAAAACCUAUGAGGUGACCGACCCCUGACCCGCGUGGAUUUCAUCAGCAGCAUAACAUCACAGAGCAAAGCAUUCAGGAGGAGAAGCUCAUCCCCAUGUGACACAACAAAGUUGAUGCAUCCGCCCGGCCUCUUCACUUUUUAUCGUCCUGAAGCGUCAGUGUUCAACAAGCAUAACAGCUACAGGAAAAACAGCUGCAGACCAGGAGCACGAAACACAAAAGCUCAUCAGACGGACAACUUGCACGGGCACGGGACAAGCACGAGAAAAGACCACAGUAAAGGGAGGCCAUGGGCAGGCUGGGGGUGU
Long non-coding RNA from Oryzias melastigma (Indian medaka), 384 nucleotides. RefSeq lists it as uncharacterized. NCBI's taxonomy places the organism in Eukaryota, Metazoa, Chordata, Actinopteri, Beloniformes, Adrianichthyidae. The record is from RefSeq and is a predicted model, not a curated record. The transcript is spliced from 4 exons.